CCCACGUACGCCCAAAUGCUGAGAUUAACCACUGGUUAAUCAAAACCAUCACUUUUGGUUUUUAGAGUUUGUUUUCAAGUGAAAUGGUAUUUUAACAUACUAAUUAUCAGAAUCUCAGUAAAUGGCAAACCUAUAAAGUUAAGUAUCAGUGUGUAAAUAAACAUGGACGAAAACAGUUUCAUAAGGUUUCUAGCAGGAAACAUUUCUUGCUGAACUGGUAUGGUACUCAUUUAGCCUAAUCUCGCUGUAUCUCUAUAACAACAAUCAAGAGUUUUCAGCUCCACACCCAAAUUGUGAUGGUUACAGUUGUUAUAUCACAGUGUUUGCUUUUUUAUAUUAAUCUUGAUAAACCUUGUAGUAAUGCUGAAUACAGUAGUUCUAGGCUUUAAAGCAUUAGAGAUUAUUCUUAAUGAAUGUGCUUUUGUAGGGCAGCUAUUGUCUAUGUCAAGAGCCAAAGUGAUGCCAAGGCAGCAGUUAAAGACCUAAAUGGGUGUUCCCUUCAAGGCCACACUGUCCAGUUGGUGCGGCUCUGUGGGCUUGGCUCAGCUGAUCCUAAACUGAUCAGUGAUAAGUCCCGGAGCACCUCAGAAACCUAUGAAGCUGAAACCGCAGGGGGUGGACUGGGAGCUAAAGGUGUAACCUACAGUUCAUCACAUGGAUCCGCCAGAGGAUCGUAGAUGCCCUGCUGGAACUGUGGGCCAAGCAUCAGGGUUUCUUCAGUGGGAUUCCUUUGAGAUCUAUAGUGGAUAUGACCUCCGAGCUUCUCACACAGGCCUCUACCCCAUCAUGUAUUUGAGUUUGUGCUGUUUUAAGCAGUGAUAAAGGUCUUGUAAAUAGUUCCCUGACCAGUAUGACUGGAUUUCAGUUGUCAGUUAAAUUUUUGCAACUCAUUUUUAUGUUAUGUACAGCCAUUUCGUUGUAAUUCUUUAAUCAGAGCAUUUCCUUCUCUUGGAACUGGAGUAAAUUUUGAGUUAAUUUCAGGUUUUCAUCUCUGCUGUUGUCAGUUAUGAAUAAAAGUUUCCCUGUUUCCUGAAUAAAGCA
This is a long non-coding RNA of Cyprinus carpio (common carp), 1041 nucleotides long. NCBI's taxonomy places the organism in Eukaryota, Metazoa, Chordata, Actinopteri, Cypriniformes, Cyprinidae. The record is from Ensembl.